This 478-nucleotide ribosomal RNA is filed under the name uncultured bacterium. Its description in RNAcentral is "bacterial SSU rRNA". It matches the Rfam family "Bacterial small subunit ribosomal RNA", at positions 30 to 510 of the family's 1533-position model. The record is from RNAcentral.
AUUGAACGCUGGCGGCAUGCCUUACACAUGCAAGUCGAACGGUAGAGGGGGCAACCCCUUGAGAGUGGCGAACGGGUGAGUAAUAUAUCGGAACGUGCCCAGUCGUGGGGAUAACGUAGAGAAAUUUACGCUAAUACCGCAUACGAUCUAAGGAUGAAAGCGGGGGAUUCGCAAGAACCUCGCGCGAUUGGAGCGGCUGAUAUCAGAUUAGGUUGUUGGUGAGGUAAAAGCUCACCAAGCCGACGAUCUGUAGCUGGUUUGAGAGAACGACCAGCCACACUGGGACUGAGACACGGCCCAGACUCCUACGGGAGGCAGCAGUGAGGAAUAUUGGACAAUGGGCGCAAGCCUGAUCCAGCCAUGCCGCGUGCAGGAUGACGGUCCUAUGGAUUGUAAACUGCUUUAUACAGGAAGAACACUACUUCGUGAAGUAGCUUGACGGUACUGUAAGAAUAAGGAAUCGGCUAACUCCGUGCCA